RNAcentral lists this ribosomal RNA (418 nucleotides) under uncultured bacterium. RNAcentral describes it as "bacterial SSU rRNA". It matches the Rfam family "Bacterial small subunit ribosomal RNA", at positions 355 to 776 of the family's 1533-position model. The record is from RNAcentral.
UGGGGAAUAUUGGACAAUGGGGGCAACCCUGAUCCAGCAAUACCAUGUGUGUGAAGAAGGCCUUAGGGUUGUAAAGCACUUUAGUCAAUGAGGAAGGUCGCGCAAGCGGCUUGACGUUAGUUGAAGAAUAAGCACCGGCUAACUCUGUGCCAGCAGCCGCGGUAAUACAGAGGGUGCAAGCGUUAAUCGGAAUUACUGGGCGUAAAGCGCACGUAGGUGGUUAGAUAAGUUGGAUGUGAAAGCCCUGGGCUCAACCUAGGAAUUGCAUUCAAUACUGUAUGACUAGAGUAUGAUAGAGGAUAGUGGAAUUUCCGGUGUAGCGGUGAAAUGCGUAGAUAUCGGAAGGAACAUCAGUGGCGAAGGCGACUAUCUGGAUUAAUACUGACACUGAGGAGCGAAAGCGUGGGGAUCAAACAGG